RNAcentral lists this ribosomal RNA (253 nucleotides) under uncultured bacterium. RNAcentral describes it as "partial 16S ribosomal RNA". It matches the Rfam family "Bacterial small subunit ribosomal RNA", at positions 524 to 776 of the family's 1533-position model. The record is from RNAcentral.
UACGUAGGGUGCAAGCGUUGUCCGGAAUUAUUGGGCGUAAAGAGCUCGUAGGCGGUCUGUCGCGUCUGCUGUGAAAACUCGGGGCUUAACCCCGGGCCUGCAGUGGGUACGGGCCGGCUGGAGGCAGGCAGGGGAGAAUGGAAUUCCCGGUGUAGCGGUGAAAUGCGCAGAUAUCGGGAGGAACACCGGUGGCGAAGGCGGUUCUCUGGGCCUGUACUGACGCUGAGGAGCGAAAGCGUGGGGAGCGAACAGG